Molecule: non-coding RNA, 144 nt
Organism: Pelobates cultripes (western spadefoot toad)
Lineage: Eukaryota; Metazoa; Chordata; Amphibia; Anura; Pelobatidae
Source: the annotation of a GenBank genome assembly
ACUGCCAGGGCUUCUUUAAAGUAAAAUUUUACUUUUAUUUGCUUACAAAAUAAAAAAAGCGACGUUUCAGUCUGACACAGGAGACUUUCAUCAGGAAAUAAAAGUAAAGUUUUACUUUAAAGAAGCCCUGGGAGUUCUACCUUA